Triticum aestivum (bread wheat) is the source of this 956-nucleotide long non-coding RNA. RefSeq lists it as uncharacterized. The transcript has 3 exons. NCBI's taxonomy places the organism in Eukaryota, Viridiplantae, Streptophyta, Magnoliopsida, Poales, Poaceae. The record is from RefSeq and is a predicted model, not a curated record.
CCCAUGAUCUAGUUUGAGUGGUCAGCUGAAGCACCCACGCCAAACGCAUCAGAUUCCGUUUCGCCAAUGCUGUCGUCCAAGGAAGGAACAAUGCGUACCAGCUGGGCUGAUGACAGGAACGACAUGGACGGUCGAGAAGCAUCGCCGUGCCGUCGGUGCACCUGAGGGCAUCCAGACGUGUAUGUUUACACUCCUCUGACGAGUGACGAUCUAUGUUUCGUCAGAUGAUUAAGGUUCGCUACUCUUUCAUUUCAAAGAGCAACCCGCACUAGUUCUCGGUUCAUUCGGUCAACGAUUUUGUCAUCUGCUGGCAAUUAAAGUUAAUCGUUUUUUCUUUUUCUUUUCUUGCGCUUUCGGGUGCCUACAAGAUGCUGCUGCUGCUUUGUUCCCUUUUGGCUAGGACUAGAAAAGAAGAAUCAAAACGGCAUGAGUGAGGCGACUGCGGGGGCGACGGCAGGGGCGUUCUCCGUCCCCGGCCUUGGCGUUCGGCGGUUACGAUGAGGAGGAGGUGGCAUCGACUAUAGACAAAGUGCUGCCACUAGAUGAUCCGGCAAGGGUAGGCCUGCACGCGGGGGAGAAGAAGGAGAUGAUCCGGCGAGUCGUUCAUCGGAGGACGGCGGCGACGGCGAUCAGGCCAUGGAAGGGCCCCCUCCCCAAGGUUAUCUUCCGAGCCACUGCGUUGAUCCAUUUGUGGUCGCUACUCACUCCGACAGAGGACAGGGAGCGUAUGGUUACUGGAUCUACCCGAUGGGAGAUGGUAGCACGUACUAUUUUCAACCUAUUUGGAUGGCGGUCAUGUAAUAAGAUAGGCAAUUAGUGAUCCUAUCUUUUUAUGCCAGCCGGUUGUGGCUUUUCUAUUACUUUUUAGCUCUUUGUGAGCCUUUUUUGUUCUUUGAUCGAGACAUGAAGACCUGUGUUGAACCUGUUGCUUAUUAAUAAUUAUGACCGUAUGCAUC